AUCGGAACGCGCCAUUGAUGGGGGAUAACGUAGCGAAAGUUGCGCUAAUACCGCAUAUUCGUGUGAGCAGGAAAGCAGGGGACCGCAAGGCCUUGCGCUCUUUGAGCGGCCGAUGUCAGAUUAGCUAGUUGGUGAGGUAAAGGCUUACCAAGGCGACGAUCUGUAGCGGGGUCUGAGAGGAUGAUCCGCCACACUGGAACUGAGACACGGUCCAGACUCCUACGGGAGGCAGCAGUGGGGAAUUUUGGACAAUGGGGGCAACCCCUGAUCCAGCCAUGCCGCGUGAGUGAAGAAGGCCUUCGGGUUGUAAAGCUCUUUCGGCCGGGAAGAAAUCGCAUGGGCCAAUACCCUGUGUGGAUGACGGUACCGGAAUAAGAAGCACCGGCUAACUACGUG
This 396-nucleotide ribosomal RNA is filed under the name uncultured bacterium. RNAcentral describes it as "bacterial SSU rRNA". It matches the Rfam family "Bacterial small subunit ribosomal RNA", at positions 117 to 507 of the family's 1533-position model. The record is from RNAcentral.